GAUCGAACGGCGUAGCUACAGGCUUAACACAUGCAAGUCGAGGGGCAGCAUGGUCUUAGCUUGCUAAGGCCGAUGGCGACCGGCGCACGGGUGAGUAACACGUAUCCAACCUGCCGUCUACUCUUGGACAGCCUUCUGAAAGGAAGAUUAAUACCCGAUGGUAUCUUAAGCACGCAUGAGAUUAAGAUUAAAGAUUUAUCGGUAAGCGAUGGGGAUGCGUUCCAUUAGGCGGUUGGCGGGGUAACGGCCCACCAAACCUACGAUGGAUAGGGGUUCUGAGAGGAAGGUCCCCCACAUUGGAACUGAGACACGGUCCAA
Molecule: ribosomal RNA, 318 nt
Filed under: uncultured bacterium
Lineage: Bacteria
Description: bacterial SSU rRNA
Rfam family: Bacterial small subunit ribosomal RNA
Source: RNAcentral